GCCCCUGUGGUGGAAUUGGUAGACGCGCUGGAUUCAAAAUCCAGUAUCCUUUGGAUGUGUCGGUUCGAGUCCGACCGGGGGCACCA
Molecule: transfer RNA, 86 nt
Filed under: Kordiimonadaceae bacterium
Lineage: Bacteria; Pseudomonadati; Pseudomonadota; Alphaproteobacteria; Kordiimonadales; Kordiimonadaceae
Also listed under: 1 other name
Description: tRNA-Leu
Rfam family: tRNA
About the family: Transfer RNA (tRNA) molecules are approximately 80 nucleotides in length. Their secondary structure includes four short double-helical elements and three loops (D, anti-codon, and T loops).
Source: RNAcentral